GGCUGGCUGGCUCAGUUGGUAGAGCACAUGACUCUUGAUCUUGGGGUUGUGGGUUCGAGCUCCAUGUUGGGUG
Molecule: transfer RNA, 73 nt
Filed under: Ailuropoda melanoleuca (giant panda)
Lineage: Eukaryota; Metazoa; Chordata; Mammalia; Carnivora; Ursidae
Rfam family: tRNA
About the family: Transfer RNA (tRNA) molecules are approximately 80 nucleotides in length. Their secondary structure includes four short double-helical elements and three loops (D, anti-codon, and T loops).
Source: Rfam by way of RNAcentral